UAGGGAAUAUUAGUAAUGGGCGAAAGCCUGAACUAGCAACACCGCGUGUGCGAAGAAGGCCUUCGGGUUGUAAAGCACUUUUUGAGAGGAAUAGGAAGGAAUGUACUUCCAGAAUAAGUCUCGGCUAACUACGUGCCAGCAGCCGCGGUAACACGUAGGAGGCGAACGUUAUCCGGAUUUACUGGGCGUAAAGCGCGUGUAGGUGGUUCUGUAAGUAGGGCGUGAAAGCUCCUGGCUCAACUGGGAGAGGCCGUUCUAAACUACAGAACUAGAGGGUGGUAGAGGGGGGUGGAAUUCCAGGUGUAGCGGUGGAAUGCGCAGAUAUCUGGAGGAACACCAGUGGCGAAGGCGGCCUCCUGGACCAUUCCUGACACUCAGACGCGAAAGCUAGGGUAGCAAACG
RNAcentral lists this ribosomal RNA (402 nucleotides) under uncultured prokaryote. RNAcentral describes it as "bacterial SSU rRNA". It matches the Rfam family "Bacterial small subunit ribosomal RNA", at positions 355 to 774 of the family's 1533-position model. The record is from RNAcentral.